UAGUCCACGCCGUAAACGAUGUCUACUUGGAGGUUGUGGCCUUGAGCCGUGGCUUUCGGAGCUAACGCGUUAAGUAGACCGCCUGGGGAGUACGGUCGCAAGAUUAAAACUCAAAUGAAUUGACGGAGGCCCGCACAAGCGGUGGAGCAUGUGGUUUAAUUCGAUGCAACGCGAAGAACCUUACCUACUCUUGACAUCCAGAGAAGCUUGAAGAGAUUCGAGUGUGCCUUCGGGAACUCUGAGACAGGUGCUGCAUGGCUGUCGUCAGCUCGUGUUGUGAAAUGUUGGGUUAAGUCCCGCAACGAGCGCAACCCUUAUCCUUGUUUGCCAGCGAGUAAUGUCGGGAACUCCAGGGAGACUGCCGGUGAUAAACCGGGAGGAAGGGUGGGGACGACGUCAAGUCAUCAUGGCCCUUACGAGUAGGGGCUACACACGUGCUACAAUGGCGCGUACAGAGGGCAGCGAACUUGCGAGAGUGAGCGAAUCCCAAAAAGU
Molecule: ribosomal RNA, 495 nt
Filed under: uncultured bacterium
Lineage: Bacteria
Description: bacterial SSU rRNA
Rfam family: Bacterial small subunit ribosomal RNA
Source: RNAcentral